RNAcentral lists this non-coding RNA (220 nucleotides) under Clostridium acetobutylicum. RNAcentral describes it as "T-box sequence". It matches the Rfam family "T-box leader". From Rfam's summary of the family: Uncharged tRNA acts as the effector for transcription antitermination of genes in the T-box leader family. T-boxes are found upstream of many aminoacyl-tRNA synthetase genes and some amino acid biosynthetic genes usually in Gram-positive bacteria. The record is from RNAcentral. Lineage: Bacteria; Bacillati; Bacillota; Clostridia; Eubacteriales; Clostridiaceae.
AAAAUAGUGUAGAAAGGGAAAAGUACUUUUAGGAAAGCUUAUAGAGAGCAAGGAAAUGGUGGAAACUUUGCAGCUUAAGUUUAAGGAAAAUCACCCUGGAGCUGGAGACUGAAAUUAUAGUAAGUUUUUUCGUAAUUCUGCGUUAAAGAAUAGGGUAUUAAAAAGUGCCUGAAGAUUAAACCAUAGGUGGUAUAUAAGCGAAUGUAACUUCGUCCUAUUU